This 1301-nucleotide long non-coding RNA is filed under the name Taeniopygia guttata (zebra finch). RNAcentral's name for it is "lncRNA (ENSTGUG00000021847.1)". The record is from RNAcentral. Lineage: Eukaryota; Metazoa; Chordata; Aves; Passeriformes; Estrildidae.
AUGGCGCCCGCACCGCGCACCCGCACCGCGCCCGCCGCGGGAGGAGCGACGUUCGCCUUCCCCGGAGAUCCCUCCUCCCGUCCCCCUCGGGUCCUAAAAUGGUGGGUCGGCCGCCCUCCCUCCCCCCUCUUCCUUGUCCUCCUGGUCCCGUCUCCCCCCCCCCGCUCCCGGAGCCCGCCCCGGCCCCGCGGGGCAGCCGCCCCUUCGUCCGUCCCGGCCUGGGCUCCGCGGGGAUGCGGCGCCAGGCCCGCGCCUCUCCCGGGAAUACGGCAACGGCGAUCCCGGGAAUACAGCAACGCCUCUCCCGGGAACACGGCAACGCCGCCCCCGGCGGCCGCCCUUACCUGCGCCGGGCUCACAUGGCGGGGCCGGGGCCCGCGGAGCCCCCCCCGGCGCCCCUCGGCCGCCGCCUCGCCGCCGCCCUGCGCGGGGCCGCAGGUAUGUCAUGAGUGCCGAGCGCGGCUCCAGGUGAGCCGGGCACACCUACAGGAAGGCAGGCGGGCCGCCCUGAUUGGCGUGCGGGGCCGGCGGCCGCGCUCCGACGGCACCGCGGCGGGGCAGGGCAGGGCAGGGCGUCCGAGCCGGAGGUGUGUAUCCUCCAGGAUGUGCUGUGAAGAUUUCAGCAAAAGAGGGAGCUUGGCUCAACCACUAGAGAAGCCCUGCAGCCCACAUCCAGGCAAUCCUGAACCCGUGAGACCCGUGUGGAGUCUCCCAGGCAGGAAAACUCCCCUCAGAAGUGGCACACUGAGAACUCUUCCCUGGCCAGCCACAGAAUCAUCCUUGUGCCUGCUGCUGCCUUCUGAUUCAAUUACUCCUUUCAUUCGUUUGUGUGGGUGCUUUUUUUCAGCAGAGUGGAUCAGCUCCGGCAGCUGAGAUUCCCAUUCCACAUCACUGCAUUUACAGUCAGAUGCAAGGAAAGGGAUGCUUCAAAUUCCCAAGAGCUGACUCUGGAUCAUGUCUCUCUUAGUUUGUUGUCAGACCUCUGGGACAUUAUAUAAAUAGCUAGUGCAUCUUCCCACUGCAUUUUCUAAGUUCCUAGCAGUUGGCAGCGGGUUGGUUGGUCAUCCUGACUGGAAAACUGCUCCUCUUCUAUCCAGAAAAGGGCAACUUAUUGUUUGAGGUGGACUUAACUUCUCCCCCUGUCCUUGGCACCUCCAGCAGCUGCAGAGGCAGUUUUCUGUUUGAUUUCGUGAAUCAUAUCUUGAGAUGCCUUGCUUUCUCUGCCUGCUGCACAGAGUUUGAGUGCCUGAACACAUCUGGAGCCCAGCAGAGUGUGAGCAGGAGAGAGCUUGUCCCGUGCU